UCCCGAGAGCUUGACUCUCCUUAAGGCACCAUCAAGACUAGGUGGUUGAUAGGCGCGGUGUGGAAGUGCAGCAAUGCAUUGAGCUUACGCGUACUAAUGAGCCGUGAGGCUUGACCA
This 117-nucleotide ribosomal RNA is filed under the name Luteibacter sp. UNC138MFCol5.1. RNAcentral describes it as "partial 23S rRNA. Bacterial LSU". It matches the Rfam family "Bacterial large subunit ribosomal RNA", at positions 2797 to 2925 of the family's 2925-position model. The record is from RNAcentral. Lineage: Bacteria; Pseudomonadati; Pseudomonadota; Gammaproteobacteria; Lysobacterales; Rhodanobacteraceae.